GAUGAACGCUGGCGGCAGGCCUAACACAUGCAAGUCGAACGGUAACAGGAAACAGCUUGCUGUUUCGCUGACGAGUGGCGGACGGGUGAGUAAUGUCUGGGAAACUGCCUGAUGGAGGGGGAUAACUACUGGAAACGGUAGCUAAUACCGCAUAACGUCGCAAGACCAAAGAGGGGGACCUUCGGGCCUCUUGCCAUCGGAUGUGCCCAGAUGGGAUUAGCUAGUAGGUGGGGUAACGGCUCACCUAGGAGACGAUCCCUAGCUGGUCUGAGAGGAUGACCAGCCACACUGGAACUGAGACACGGUCCAGACUCCUACGGGAGGCAGCAGUGGGGAAUAUUGCACAAUGGGCGCAAGCCUGAUGCAGCCAUGCCGCGUGUAUGAAGAAGGCCUUCGGGUUGUAAAGUACUUUCAGCGGGGAGGAAGGGAGUAAAGUUAAUACCUUUGCUCAUUGACGUUACCCGCAGAAGAAGCACCGGCUAACUCCGUGCCAGCCGCCGCCGUAA
Molecule: ribosomal RNA, 506 nt
Filed under: uncultured bacterium
Lineage: Bacteria
Description: partial 16S ribosomal RNA
Rfam family: Bacterial small subunit ribosomal RNA
Source: RNAcentral